CCUACGGGAGGCAGCAGUGAGGAAUAUUGGUCAAUGGGAGAGAUCCUGAACCAGCCAAGCCGCGUGAGGGAAGACGGCCCUAUGGGUUGUAAACCUCUUUUGUCGGAGAACAAAACCCGGGACGAGUCCCGGACUGCGUGUAUCCGAAGAAAAAGCAUCGGCUAACUCCGUGCCAGCAGCCGCGGUAAUACGGAGGAUGCGAGCGUUAUCCGGAUUUAUUGGGUUGAAAGGGUGCGUAGGCGGUCUGUUAAGUCAGCGGUAAAAUUGCGGGGCUAAACCCCGUCGAGCCGUUAAAACUGGGAGACGUGAGUGGGCGAGAAGUACGCGGAAUGCGCGGUGUAGCGGUGAAAUGCAUAGAUAUCGCGCAGAACUCCGAUUGCGAAGGCAGCGUACCGGCGCCAGACUGACGCUGAGGCACGAAAGCGUGGGGAUCGAACAGGAUUAGAUACCCUAGUAGUC
Molecule: ribosomal RNA, 459 nt
Filed under: uncultured bacterium
Lineage: Bacteria
Description: partial 16S ribosomal RNA
Rfam family: Bacterial small subunit ribosomal RNA
Source: RNAcentral